Molecule: ribosomal RNA, 253 nt
Filed under: uncultured bacterium
Lineage: Bacteria
Description: partial 16S ribosomal RNA
Rfam family: Bacterial small subunit ribosomal RNA
Source: RNAcentral
UACGUAGUUGGCAAGCGUUGUCCGGAUUUAUUGGGUUUAAAGGGUGCGUAGGCGGUUUUGUAAGUCAGUGGUGAAAUAUGUCAGCUUAACUGAGAGGGUGCCAUUGAUACUGCAGAACUUGAGUACAGAUGAGGUAGGCGGAAUUGAAGGUGUAGCGGUGAAAUGCUUAGAUAUCGUCAAGAACACCUAUAGCGAAGGCAGCUUACUAGGCUGUAACUGACGCUGAGGCAAGAAAGUGUGGGGAUCAAACAGG